GAUGAACGCUGGCGGCGUGCCUAAUACAUGCAAGUCGAGCGAACGGACGAGAAGCUUGCUUCUCUGAUGUUAGCGGCGGACGGGUGAGUAACACGUGGAUAACCUACCUAUAAGACUGGGAUAACUUCGGGAAACCGGAGCUAAUACCGGAUGAUAUUUUGAACCGCAUGGUUCUAAAAUGAAAGACCGUCUUGCUGUCACUUACACAUGGAUCCGCGCUGCCUUAGCUAGUUGGUAAGGUAACGGCUUACCAAGGCAACGAUGCAUAGCCGACCUGAGAGGGUGAUCGACCACACUGGAACUGAGACACGGUCCAGACUCCUACGGGAGGCAGCAGUAGGGAAUCUUCCGCAGUGGGCGAAAGCCUGACGGAGCAACGCCGCGUGAGUGAUGAAGGUCUUCGGAUCGUAAAACUCUGUUAUUAGGGAAGAACAUAUGUGUAAGUAACUGUGCACAUCUUGACGGUACCUAAUCAGAAAGCCACGGCUAACUACGUG
This 497-nucleotide ribosomal RNA is filed under the name uncultured bacterium. RNAcentral's name for it is "partial 16S ribosomal RNA". It matches the Rfam family "Bacterial small subunit ribosomal RNA", at positions 28 to 507 of the family's 1533-position model. The record is from RNAcentral.